This is a long non-coding RNA of Homo sapiens (human), 2557 nucleotides long. RefSeq lists it as uncharacterized. Lineage: Eukaryota; Metazoa; Chordata; Mammalia; Primates; Hominidae. The record is from RefSeq and is a predicted model, not a curated record. The transcript is spliced from 2 exons.
CCUUCUUUUUUUCAGGUUGAGUAAUAGUAGAAUGGUAAAUUGUAGUGGGUGAUCCAGCUCUAUAAUUUUAAAAAGUUUAUUUUUUAAGAUAUGGUCUCAUUACUGAAAUUAGAGUCUCUGUAGAAUGGGGAAGCUUUGAAGGACCCAUUCAUAGGGUCAAUAAAAAACAAUGGGCCACUGAUAUCUCUACAUCUUUUAUAGACAAACAGAAAAAAUAGGGACUAUCAUAAAAUAUAUAUGUAUGUGUGUAUAUAUAUAUAUAUAUGUAUAUAUAUAGGUUAAUCAUAUCUCUAAAGUACUUUAAAGAAAGCUAUAUAGAGUAAAGCUUAUCAUUUGCAGCUGUUAAAGAGGAAUGCCUGCAAUGUGAGCAGCCCAGUUUGAAGAUAAUGGAUUUAUGAGUUGCAGGAAGCAAAAUGUGUGAUCGCUUGGGCCAGAAUCUGUUAAGUAUCAUGUUGCUAUUUCUCCCCUUUCUUCCCCAUCUUAGGUCACAUCUCAAAUAUGAACAUCACCCAGAGGUUACCCAGGUGAUCCCAGGCCAUCUCGGGAUGUCCUCCACAUUCCACAAUUCAGUAGCCAAAGGAUUGAACUGAUACCUGCAGAAGACUUCCUGGAUUCCCUCUCCAAGACCCACAAUCCACUAUGAUUGGAUAAGGCCUACCCUCUAAUUGAUCAGUACUACACACACACACACACACACACACACACACACUCACUCACCAAGGCUUGGUUUCCUUUUCUAAAAAACAAAAGAGGGUAAAGGAAUGCCCUCCCAAGUCUCUUUCUAAAAUUUUCAAGUUCUACAGGCUCAGUAGGCAUCCAGCCUCUCAGCACUACCCUAUGUCCCCUAUGCCCACGUAGAUAAACUUGUUUUAAUAAAAGCUAACUUCCGAUUUAGCACACAGUAUUAAGAAUUAAAGUUGGAUGAAGCUAUUACUGUUACGAAUAGCCUUGGGCUAUUUUUCAAUUCACCUAUGUCAUACGUCAAGUGAUUAAGAAAAUCAAAUGCUGUAUCCAGGAAAAUAGAACAUGAAAAGGCAGGAAUAAUGUGUGUCUUUAGGACACCCAUUUGAACACAAAAGAAUUAGGGCCCAAAUUUCACUAUAUGUCAAAUGUGAAUUUAUUUCUAUAAAAGGCUUCAGAACUCUCUAAGCUUUGCAUUGUCUGAAGAGUGCUACAGAGCCAUCUGUGACUUGUAGUGGUUGCAUCCAGAUCUUUGAAAAUGCUUUUUCUUCUUAAUCAAGUUAGGAUAUUGGAUUUCCAGAAGAGUAGGAUCUCUAUAUUUUGAUACUCGCCUGAUUUCUUAAAGCUCCUAAAGGUGCCUUUUGACUUCCUAACUGAUUCUAACAAACACAUGGCUUCAGUCUAUCUGGCUUCCCCUUUGUCUAAGAACACUGACAUUAGGAGUUGCCAAUUGGCACCUCUAUGUGGACACCUUCCACCCAGAAACCAUGUUGAGUUUUCAGGUUUCACAAUGAUGCUGAUUUGAGUCAGCACUGUUGGAAAUGAGGGUCUUUUUAAAAAUGCUUCAGAUUCCCAGUUAUUCCUACCUUUGUCUCUUCAGUCCUCAACAUCCUCUGGGGCAAAACUAGAGAGCUGCACUGUUUCUGUGUGAGGUGAACCUGCGUCCACAGAGGAGCAGCACUCACGUUCCCCACUCAAGACCUGUGUAAUUUAUUUGUAGCAAAGCUCCAUCCUUAAUUCACUAUUAUCUUGUCUUUCUGGCAUCCUCCUUCCCUCUGUGCUAUGCAUGUUGGGGUCGGUGAGGGGAGCAAUGACCCAGAGAGGGGCAUCUUUUGCAUGGCAAAGUCCUUUGGAUGAGCUGAGGAUUCCCAUCUUGACUGAAGUUUUCCAGUUUUUAAAUCUCAUCUUUCAUUUUGUGAUGCUUGAUAAAGAUAGCAAAGUAAUAUGAGUUAGUAAAUGUUAACACGUGCCGCAAAUACAAAAGCAGUUUAUUCUGUCAUUGAUAAUGGAGGAAAAUAUGCAAUAAUAGUAUUGAAUUUGCACUCAUAGGUAAAAGCCUUCAUUGCAAAGCAAAAUCUGAUUUUUGUUUGUGACCAGCAUGAAUGCUGACCUCUGCCCUUUGAAUGAUCUUUCCGUCUCCCGGAAAGUUCAUGAAAAGGUCAUGGAGCUGCGCUGACUUCCUCUGUGUGUGCAUGGACGUGUCUUUGCUAUUGAUCCAGGAAAAGACCAUUCUGUGGUUUUGUUCAUUUUAUUUUUAAUGGAAACCUAAUCAGUAAUUAUAAAAUGUUUCUAGAAGAAUUCACGCCUGAGUAAGUGAAGAAAGCUAACCUCAUUUCAUGCUGAUUAUUUAACCUUGGUCAUAACUCCCAAUUAAAUGCAUUUCUUGAACCCGUAACAAAGCAAAAUAUGGCACUUACUGGUCAGAAAUUCAAAGCAGGAGAGAGAAAAAAUGGCUUAAUAGCUGGAAAUAAAAACAUCAGUGAAUUUUUCUUAUGGAUUCCUUCAUGUCAAAUUCAUAUCAUGAGUGACUCGCAGUUUUCCCUUUAGAUCAUCUUGGCAUCAUCGAGGAGCAAAAAUAAAAAUGAUUUCUAGUAUA